UGGGGAAUUUUCCGCAAUGGGCGCAAGCCUGACGGAGCAAUACCGCGUGAAUGAUGAAGGCCUUAGGGUUGUAAAAUUCUUUCGCUAGGGAUGAUAAUGACAGUACCUAGUAAAGAAGCCCCGGCUAACUUCGUGCCAGCAGCCGCGGUAAUACGAAGGGGGCUAGCGUUGUUCGGAAUUACUGGGCGUAAAGCGCACGUAGGCGGACUUUUAAGUCAGAUGUGAAAUCCCGAGGCUCAACCUCGGAACUGCAUUUGAAACUGGGAGUCCAGAGAUCAGGAGAGGUUAGCGGAAUACCGAGUGUAGAGGUGAAAUUCGUAGAUAUUCGGUGGAACACCAGUGGCGAAGGCGGCUAACUGGACUGAUACUGACGCUGAGGUGCGAAAGUGUGGGGAGCAAACAGGAUUAGAUACCCGUGUAGUCC
RNAcentral lists this ribosomal RNA (424 nucleotides) under uncultured prokaryote. RNAcentral's name for it is "bacterial SSU rRNA". It matches the Rfam family "Bacterial small subunit ribosomal RNA", at positions 355 to 796 of the family's 1533-position model. The record is from RNAcentral.